AACGNGAAAAACCUUACCUACCCUUGACAUGUCCAGAAGCCUGAAGAGAUUUGGGUGUGCCCGAAAGGGAACUGGAACACAGGUGCUGCAUGGCUGUCGUCAGCUCGUGUCGUGAGAUGUUGGGUUAAGUCCCGCAACGAGCGCAACCCUUGUCGUUAAUUGCCAUCAUUCAGUUGGGCACUUUAACGAGACUGCCGGUGACAAACCGGAGGAAGGUGGGGAUGACGUCAAGUCCUCAUGGCCCUUAUGGGUAGGGCUUCACACGUCAUACAAUGGUCGGUACAGAGGGUUGCCAAGCCGCGAGGUGGAGCCAAUCCCAGAAAGCCGAUCGUAGUCCGGAUCGCAGGCUGCAACUCGCCUGCGUGAAGUCGGAAUCGCUAGUAAUCGCGGAUCAGCAUGUCGCGGUGAAUACGUUCCCGGGUCUUGUACACACCGCCCGUCACACCAUGGGAGCGGGUUCCGCCAGAAGUAGGUAGCCUAACCGCAAGGAGGGCGCUUACCACGGCGGGGUUCGUGACUGGGGUGAAGUCGUAACAAGGUAGCCGUAGGGGAACCUGCGGCUGGAUCACCUCC
Molecule: ribosomal RNA, 573 nt
Filed under: uncultured Dechloromonas sp.
Lineage: Bacteria; Pseudomonadati; Pseudomonadota; Betaproteobacteria; Rhodocyclales; Azonexaceae
Description: bacterial SSU rRNA
Rfam family: Bacterial small subunit ribosomal RNA
Source: RNAcentral